UACGUAGGUGGCAAGCGUUGUCCGGAAUUAUUGGGCGUAAAGCGCGCGCAGGUGGUUCCUUAAGUCUGAUGUGAAAGCCCACGGCUCAACCGUGGAGGGUCAUUGGAAACUGGGGAACUUGAGUGCAGAAGAGGAAAGUGGAAUUCCAAGUGUAGCGGUGAAAUGCGUAGAGAUUUGGAGGAACACCAGUGGCGAAGGCGACUCUUUGGUCUGUAACUGACGCUGAGGCGCGAAAGCGUGGGGAGCAAACAGG
RNAcentral lists this ribosomal RNA (253 nucleotides) under uncultured bacterium. Its description in RNAcentral is "partial 16S ribosomal RNA". It matches the Rfam family "Bacterial small subunit ribosomal RNA", at positions 524 to 776 of the family's 1533-position model. The record is from RNAcentral.